RNAcentral lists this long non-coding RNA (730 nucleotides) under Vulpes vulpes (red fox). Its description in RNAcentral is "lncRNA (ENSVVUG00000010712.1)". The record is from RNAcentral. Lineage: Eukaryota; Metazoa; Chordata; Mammalia; Carnivora; Canidae.
GGAAGACUGAGUGUUAAGAGAGAAUUUGCAUUAUCUGCUUUGUACUCUUUCACUAAAAGCUGCUGGAAAUGGUUUUCCACUAAAAUAAGGGACCUGGCCACAGAAAAGAAAAGACAUGGUAUACAGGUAACAAGAGAGCCAACAAAAGAAAAGAGGCAAAGGAAAUCCCCCAGAAUAAUGGUAAAGGAUACCCCAGGAUGACAUCUAACACAUGGGUAUAGAGAGCAUCCUAGGAGCCCCACUGAGAAACUUCUCUGGAGAAAAGAGAAAAUUGAUGGGAUAUCUGAAGGAACGAAACAUCCCAAGCCACUUUUCAAUAUAAUUGUCUUCACUCGUUCAAUAAGGAUUUACCCGGCCCCUUCUUUGUGUUGGUCACAAGUAUGCUGAGCUCCGUGACUGCAGCACACAAACCGGAGAAAUGGUCAGAUAAAGAGAUAGCUGCAAUGCAACAUAAAAGCACAGUGUUCCAUUUCGGUACAUUUCAGCUCCAGUCACAACGGCAUGUGGUCAAAACACUAACUGUGGGGUUUUCCAAGGUUGGUGACAAUGAAGGUUGGUUUCCAAUUGCCUCAGAGACAACGUGAUUCUGGGUCAGCACUGCUCUUCCCAGGCCAACUCUACAGUGUGCUUCUGGAAGACGUUCCUAAAAAUUCAGCCUUUGAUACUGUCCAUUGGAUCCAUGAACUCUCUGAUACCCCUUAAUAAAUUCCUUUCUGGUUAAAUUAGCUCA